RNAcentral lists this ribosomal RNA (1816 nucleotides) under Dermacentor andersoni. RNAcentral describes it as "small subunit ribosomal RNA". It matches the Rfam family "Eukaryotic small subunit ribosomal RNA". Lineage: Eukaryota; Metazoa; Arthropoda; Arachnida; Ixodida; Ixodidae. The record is from RNAcentral.
UACCUGGUUGAUCCUGCCAGUAAUCAUAUGCUUGUCUCAAAGAUUAAGCCAUGCAUGUCUAAGUACAUGCCGAAAUAAGGCGAAACCGCGAAUGGCUCAUUAAAUCAGUUAUGGUUCCUUAGAUCGUUUCUUCCUACUUGGAUAACUGUGGCAAUUCUAGAGCUAAUACAUGCAGUGAGCCUGAAGCCCUUUGGGCGACGGGUGCUUUUAUUAGACCAAGAUCGAUCGGGUUUCGGCCCGUAUUGUGUGGUGACUCUGGAUAACUUUGUGCUGAUCGCAUGGCCACGAGCCGGCGACGUUUCUUUCAAGUGUCUGCCUUAUCAACUUUCGAUGGUAGGUUACUUGCUUACCAUGGUUGUUACGGGUAACGGAGAAUCAGGGUUCGAUUCCGGAGAGGGAGCCUGAGAAACGGCUACCACAUCCAAGGAAGGCAGCAGGCGCGCAAAUUACCCACUCCCGGCACGGGGAGGUAGUGACGAAAAAUAACAAUACGGGACUCUUUUGAGGCCCCGUAAUUGAAAUGAGUACACUCUAAAUCCUUUAACGAGGAUCAAUUGGAGGGCAAGUCUGGUGCCAGCAGCCGCGGUAAUUCCAGCUCCAAUAGCGUAUACUAAAGCUGCUGCGGUUAAAAAGCUCGUAGUUGGAUCUCAGUUCCAGACGAGUAGUGCAUCUACCCGAUGCGACGGCUCGGACUGAACAUCAUGCCGGUCCUUUCUUGGUGCACUUCAUUGUGUGCCUCGAGAAGGCCGGUGCUUUUACUUUGAAAAAAUUAGAGUGCUCAACGCAGGCGAGUCGCCUGAAUAAACUUGCAUGGAAUAAUAGAACAAGACCUCGUUUCUGUUCUGUUGGUUUUUGGAAUACGAGGUAAUGAUUAAGAGGGACAGACGGGGGCAUUCGUAUUGCGGCGCUAGAGGUGAAAUUCUUGGACCGUCGCAAGACGAACUACUGCGAAAGCAUUUGCCAAGAAUGUUUUCUUUGAUCAAGAACGAAAGUCAGAGGUUCGAAGGCGAUCAGAUACCGCCCUAGUUCUGACCAUAAACGAUGCCAACCAGCGAUCCGCCUGAGUUACUCAAAUGACUCGGCGGGCAGCUUCCGGGAAACCAAAGUGUUUGGGUUCCGGGGGAAGUAUGGUUGCAAAGCUGAAACUUAAAGGAAUUGACGGAAGGGCACCACCAGGAGUGGAGCCUGCGGCUUAAUUUGACUCAACACGGGAAAACUUACCCGGCCCGGACACUGGGAGGAUUGACAGAUUGAGAGCUCUUUCUUGAUUCGGUGGAUGGUGGUGCAUGGCCGUUCUUAGUUGGUGGAGCGAUUUGUCUGGUUAAUUCCGAUAACGAACGAGACUCUAGCCUAUUAAAUAGGUGCGGGGUUCCCAGCACCUUACAACCUUCUUAGAGGGACAAGCGGCUCCUAGCCGCACGAAACAGAGCAAUAACAGGUCUGUGAUGCCCUUAGAUGUCCGGGGCCGCACGCGCGCUACACUGAAGGAAGCAGCGUGUCUUUAUCCCUGUCUGAAAAGACUGGGUAACCCGUGGAACUUCUUUCGUGAUUGGGAUAGGGGCUUGCAAUUGUUCCCCUUGAACGAGGAAUUCCCAGUAAGCGCGAGUCAUAAGCUCGCGUUGAUUACGUCCCUCGCCCUUUGUACACACCGCCCGUCGCUACUACCGAUUGAAUGAUUUAGUGAGGUCUUCGGACCGAUGUCCGGCGCGGCCUUUCGGUUGCGCCGGUCUGUUGGAAAGAUGACCAAACUUGAUCAUUUAGAGGAAGUAAAAGUCGUAACAAGGUUUCCGUAGGUGAACCUGCGGAAGGAUCAUUA